RNAcentral lists this ribosomal RNA (776 nucleotides) under uncultured Neocallimastigales. Its description in RNAcentral is "partial large subunit ribosomal RNA". It matches the Rfam family "Eukaryotic large subunit ribosomal RNA", at positions 18 to 643 of the family's 3401-position model. Lineage: Eukaryota; Fungi; Neocallimastigomycota; Neocallimastigomycetes; Neocallimastigales. The record is from RNAcentral.
UCAGACGAUGCGUCAUGCAUAUCAAUAAGCGGAGGAAAAGAAACUAACAAGGAUUCCCCUAGUAACGGCGAGUGAAGCGGGAAGAGCUCAAAUUUGAAAUCUUAAAGGGUUUCCCUUUACGAAUUGUAGUUUAAAGAAGUGUUUUCUGUUGAGGUUUUGGUAAAAGUUCUUUGGAAUAGGACAUCAUAGAGGGUGAGAAUCCCGUAUUUGACCUUUACUUUCAACUUUGUGAUACACUUUCAAAGAGUCGGAUUGUUUGGGAAUGCAGUCCAAAAUGGGUGGUAAAUUUCAUCUAAAGCUAAAUAUUGGCGAGAGACCGAUAGCGAACAAGUACCGUGAGGGAAAGAGUGAAAAGAACUUUGAAAAGAGAGUUAAACAGUACGUGAAAUUGUCAAAAGGGAAGCGUUUGACACCAGUGUUGUUUUUCUGAAAAUCAAUUAAAGAACUGUUUAUGCUAAGCUGUUUAGACUUUAUCAGCUAUCUGUUUAGUUUUGAGCUUUUCUUUAAUGCACUUUUCAGUUAACAAGUCAACAUCAAUUUCUUUUGCUGUAAAAAAGCUUGAGGAAGGUGGCUUGAGAUUCGUCUUAAGUGUUUAUAGCCUCUUGCCUAUGCAGUCGGAGAGAUUGAGGUCUGCAGCGUAGAUCCUUCGGGGCUAAAUGCAUUUGUGCUAAGUUAUAGCAUUUUAUAGACAACUUGCUUGACUAUGAUUUGUCUUGUAGCUUACUCGCUUAUGUUAUUUUACCUACGCUUAGGAUGUUGACACACGCGCGUGCUCG